CGCGCGGCUCAGCGGGGGCGGCUUCGCGGCGGGGAAGGGGUACAGCCCGAGACCCCCAGCGACACGACAGCACCGGCGGCCUCGGCGCCGGGUCGGCGGCCAAAGUCGCCGGCAAUACAGAAAAAUGUCUGGUGGUGCCAGAAAACUCUUCACUGCUACAGACCCUUCCCAGCCUGAUCCGUCUCUUCUCCACAGACAGUGCAAGUAAACCUCAUAUCCAGUUCUGCCAUUUCCUCAUUUCAUGGUGA
RNAcentral lists this long non-coding RNA (248 nucleotides) under Apteryx rowi (Okarito brown kiwi). Its description in RNAcentral is "lncRNA (ENSARWG00000000370.1)". The record is from RNAcentral. Lineage: Eukaryota; Metazoa; Chordata; Aves; Apterygiformes; Apterygidae.